UUGAAAGGGAAACGAUUGAAGUCAGUCGUGCUGGCGCGAAAUCAACCCUCUCAUCNGGAGACCCAUGUUGUGGCGAGCCNUCAAAACCCUCACGAAGNAUGUGUNUNGNGAUGAGGGGGAGGACUUUCGUGUCCGCUGGUUAACAUCAAUUUCGAACGUCAUAAAAAGGCUGGAGGGAUGUGGCUCCUUCGGGAGUGUUAUAACCUUUAGCGGAAUGUGGUGUUCGGGAUUGAGGAUUGCAACGAAUACCUUUAGGGCUGUUCCACCUGGCUUCUNUUUGGUAUCCUGGUGACGACAGCUUNUGAGCGUUAGGAUUCGCUUUGAACAGGNAGAGUGUGAGCAAAUCGUUAAGGAUGUUGACGUA
RNAcentral lists this ribosomal RNA (364 nucleotides) under uncultured Glomeromycotina. Its description in RNAcentral is "partial large subunit ribosomal RNA". The record is from RNAcentral. Lineage: Eukaryota; Fungi; Glomeromycota.